Molecule: ribosomal RNA, 504 nt
Filed under: uncultured bacterium
Lineage: Bacteria
Description: bacterial SSU rRNA
Rfam family: Bacterial small subunit ribosomal RNA
Source: RNAcentral
AACGAACGCUGGCGGCGUGCCUAACACAUGCAAGUCGAACGAGAAAGGGGCUUCGGCUCCGAGUAAAGUGGCGCACGGGUGAGUAACACGUGGGUAACCUGCCUCUAAGAUUGGGAUAACUCGUCGAAAGAUGAGCUAAUACCGAAUAAGACCACAGUUCCCGCGGGAACAGGGGUCAAAGGUAGCCUCUGCUUGCAAGCUAUCACUUAGAGAUGGGCCUGCGCACCAUUAGCUAGUUGGUAGGGUAACGGCCUACCAAGGCAAAGAUGGUUAGCUGGUCUGAGAGGAUGAUCAGCCACACUGGAACUGAGACACGGUCCAGACUCCUACGGGAGGCAGCAGUGGGGAAUAUUGCGCAAUGGGCGAAAGCUUGACGCAGCAACGCCGCGUGAGUGAUGAAGGCAUUCGGGUCGUAAAGCUCUGUCGGGAGGAACGAAUGCUCCUGAGGUUAACAGCCUCGGGAGGUGACGGUACCUCCAAAGGAAGCACCGGCUAACUCUGUGC